RNAcentral lists this ribosomal RNA (1510 nucleotides) under Escherichia coli. Its description in RNAcentral is "bacterial LSU rRNA". It matches the Rfam family "Bacterial large subunit ribosomal RNA", at positions 1453 to 2925 of the family's 2925-position model. The record is from RNAcentral. Lineage: Bacteria; Pseudomonadati; Pseudomonadota; Gammaproteobacteria; Enterobacterales; Enterobacteriaceae.
ACUGCGAAGGGGGGACGGAGAAGGCUAUGUUGGCCGGGCGACGGUUGUCCCGGUUUAAGCGUGUAGGCUGGUUUUCCAGGCAAAUCCGGAAAAUCAAGGCUGAGGCGUGAUGACGAGGCACUACGGUGCUGAAGCAACAAAUGCCCUGCUUCCAGGAAAAGCCUCUAAGCAUCAGGUAACAUCAAAUCGUACCCCAAACCGACACAGGUGGUCAGGUAGAGAAUACCAAGGCGCUUGAGAGAACUCGGGUGAAGGAACUAGGCAAAAUGGUGCCGUAACUUCGGGAGAAGGCACGCUGAUAUGUAGGUGAAGUCCCUCGCGGAUGGAGCUGAAAUCAGUCGAAGAUACCAGCUGGCUGCAACUGUUUAUUAAAAACACAGCACUGUGCAAACACGAAAGUGGACGUAUACGGUGUGACGCCUGCCCGGUGCCGGAAGGUUAAUUGAUGGGGUUAGCGCAAGCGAAGCUCUUGAUCGAAGCCCCGGUAAACGGCGGCCGUAACUAUAACGGUCCUAAGGUAGCGAAAUUCCUUGUCGGGUAAGUUCCGACCUGCACGAAUGGCGUAAUGAUGGCCAGGCUGUCUCCACCCGAGACUCAGUGAAAUUGAACUCGCUGUGAAGAUGCAGUGUACCCGCGGCAAGACGGAAAGACCCCGUGAACCUUUACUAUAGCUUGACACUGAACAUUGAGCCUUGAUGUGUAGGAUAGGUGGGAGGCUUUGAAGUGUGGACGCCAGUCUGCAUGGAGCCGACCUUGAAAUACCACCCUUUAAUGUUUGAUGUUCUAACGUUGACCCGUGAUCCGGGUUGCGGACAGUGUCUGGUGGGUAGUUUGACUGGGGCGGUCUCCUCCUAAAGAGUAACGGAGGAGCACGAAGGUUGGCUAAUCCUGGUCGGACAUCAGGAGGUUAGUGCAAUGGCAUAAGCCAGCUUGACUGCGAGCGUGACGGCGCGAGCAGGUGCGAAAGCAGGUCAUAGUGAUCCGGUGGUUCUGAAUGGAAGGGCCAUCGCUCAACGGAUAAAAGGUACUCCGGGGAUAACAGGCUGAUACCGCCCAAGAGUUCAUAUCGACGGCGGUGUUUGGCACCUCGAUGUCGGCUCAUCACAUCCUGGGGCUGAAGUAGGUCCCAAGGGUAUGGCUGUUCGCCAUUUAAAGUGGUACGCGAGCUGGGUUUAGAACGUCGUGAGACAGUUCGGUCCCUAUCUGCCGUGGGCGCUGGAGAACUGAGGGGGGCUGCUCCUAGUACGAGAGGACCGGAGUGGACGCAUCACUGGUGUUCGGGUUGUCAUGCCAAUGGCACUGCCCGGUAGCUAAAUGCGGAAGAGAUAAGUGCUGAAAGCAUCUAAGCACGAAACUUGCCCCGAGAUGAGUUCUCCCUGACUCCUUGAGAGUCCUGAAGGAACGUUGAAGACGACGACGUUGAUAGGCCGGGUGUGUAAGCGCAGCGAUGCGUUGAGCUAACCGGUACUAAUGAACCGUGAGGCUUAACCUUACAACGCCGAAGGUGUUU